RNAcentral lists this ribosomal RNA (334 nucleotides) under Navicula cf. perminuta. Its description in RNAcentral is "bacterial LSU rRNA". It matches the Rfam family "Bacterial large subunit ribosomal RNA", at positions 2098 to 2431 of the family's 2925-position model. Lineage: Eukaryota; Bacillariophyta; Bacillariophyceae; Naviculales; Naviculaceae. The record is from RNAcentral.
GCUUUACUGUAACUUGAGAUUGAAAUUGGACUUUAUUUGCGCAGUAUAGGUGGGAGACGUUGAGAAUACUCUUGCGGGAGUAUUGGAGUCAUCAGUGAGAUACCACUCUUGUAAUGUUAGAUUUCUAACUUUGUAUCAUUAUCUGGUCAAAGGACAGUUUCAGGCGGGCAGUUUGACUGGGGCGGUCGCCUCCCAAAUGGUAACGGAGGCGCACAAAGGUUUCCUCUGAACGUGUAGAAAUCGUAUCUAGAGUGUAAAGGCAUAAGGAAGCUUGACUGUGAGACCUACAAGUCGAGCAGGGACGAAAGUCGGUCUUAGUGAUCUGACGGUGCUG